RNAcentral lists this unclassified non-coding RNA (314 nucleotides) under Sophora franchetiana. Its description in RNAcentral is "partial contains external transcribed spacer and 18S ribosomal RNA". The record is from RNAcentral. Lineage: Eukaryota; Viridiplantae; Streptophyta; Magnoliopsida; Fabales; Fabaceae.
AUGUUCCUCAUAAGACUCGGUCCAUCCAGGCUUCCGUUGUGAGGUUUGGUGGGUUUGAAAGUAGUACUAGCGUUCCGCUUGAGUUGUGUGUCGUACAGCUCACGUGGUCAUUGGUAUUUACUGUUCUCCUGGAUGCGGUGCAUGCGGCUAACGUGGUCUCUUGAUUGAGCCUCGUCGAGUCCCUCGGAAUUAUCGUUUGCCAUGAAUGACACUUGUCGAGGUGCCUGGGUUGCUUUUCCGCUUGCGGUGGCAACACUUGCACGUCGGGCAUAGUUGUUGGUGGAUGCUACCUGGUUGAUCCUGCCAGUAGUCAU